UGCAGUCGAGCGGUAACAGAUCUAGCUUGCUGGAUGCUGACGAGCGGCGGACGGGUGAGUAAUGCAUAGGAAUCUGCCCGAUAGUGGGGGAUAACCUGGGGAAACCCAGGCUAAUACCGCAUACGUCCUACGGGAGAAAGGGGGCUCCGGCUCCCGCUAUGGGAUGAGCCUAUGUCGGAUUAGCUAGUUGGUGAGGUAACGGCUCACCAAGGCCACGAUCCGUAGCUGGUCUGAGAGGAUGAUCAGCCACAUCGGGACUGAGACACGGCCCGAACUCCUACGGGAGGCAGCAGUGGGGAAUAUUGGACAAUGGGGGAAACCCUGAUCCAGCCAUGCCGCGUGUGUGAAGAAGGCCCUCGGGUUGUAAAGCACUUUCAGCGAGGAAGAACGCCUAGCGGUUAAUACCCGCUAGGAAAGACAUCACUCGCAGAAGAAGCACCGGCUAACUCCGUGCCAGCAGCCGCGGUAAUACGGAGGGUGCAAGCGUUAAUCGGAAUUACUGGGCGUAAAGCGCGCGUAGGUGGCUUGAUAAGCCGGUUGUGAAAGCCCCGGGCUCAACCUGGGAACGGCAUCCGGAACUGUCAAGCUAGAGUGCAGGAGAGGAAGGUAGAAUUCCCGGUGUAGCGGUGAAAUGCGUAGAGAUCGGGAGGAAUACCAGUGGCGAAGGCGGCCUUCUGGACUGACACUGACACUGAGGUGCGAAAGCGUGGGUAGCAAACAGGAUUAGAUACCCUGGUAGUCCACGCCGUAAACGAUGUCGACCAGCCGUUGGGUGCCUAGCGCACUUUGUGGCGAAGUUAACGCGAUAAGUCGACCGCCUGGGGAGUACGGCCGCAAGGUUAAAACUCAAAUGAAUUGACGGGGGCCCGCACAAGCGGUGGAGCAUGUGGUUUAAUUCGAUGCAACGCGAAGAACCUUACCUACUCUUG
Molecule: ribosomal RNA, 929 nt
Filed under: uncultured bacterium
Lineage: Bacteria
Description: bacterial SSU rRNA
Rfam family: Bacterial small subunit ribosomal RNA
Source: RNAcentral